GCACCACAAUGCAGUCAUGCUGGGCUUUCACCUACCCUAUUAUAAGGGUGGAGGGAAUAGGCCUGUUUCCUUUGAUAAUAAUGGUUGGGAAUUACGGUCUAUUUUUUUUAAAGCACUAACUAAAGCACCAUUCUCCUCCACUUUCUUUUGAAGUGGAAAGGGGUGCUGUGAUGGCCUUUACAUUCAAAGCGUAAUUGUGAAAUGAAUUAAGGAGAGGAGAUGGAGGAGCAGAUCCCUUCAAAUAUUUUGGUGUCCUGAUCCCAUCAUUCCCAUGAAAUUUCCUACUUUUUCACUGGGCUAGUCACCGUUUGGGUCCCAUGUUCCUACUCUUUCAAGUCCUAUCACUGGUCAGUCAGAUUUCUUCAAUUUACCCUAAAUUCGGAAGCUGGCCUGGUCCUCUAUGUGUGUUCCAAGCCUCCAAGGUACCAACUCACACUUGGGGGGAUGGAAAAUCUCCUUGAACCUUCUGGAGGGAGGCAAAGACUUGUCACUUUCCUAGACUGACCCUAUUCUUUCUCUUUAUUCUUCUCCCUUUCCCUCCAGACACUUCCCUUUAAUGUGACCCUUCCUUCUAAGGUGUGAAUCCUCCCUUCUCUGUGCGACUAUCUUAAUACGAACCCUCCCCCUUAAUGUGGACCCCCUACUGUGCCUUACCCGGUGGCCUCACUCCCUUCGUGACUCCUCCCCCUCGUCUGUUACCCUUCCCUAAAGGUGACCCCUCCCCUCACUGUGACCCCUCCCACUCAAAGAGCUGUAGGUAACAGGUGGUUGUCUCUGUCUCUCCCGUGUCUCUGUCUGUUAUCAGCCAGGAGGGGCCUGGCUGAUAACCUGUUUUUUCCGCGUGCCCCCUCCCCAUAUUGCCUGGUGUCAGGCUCAGCUCUCAGGGGAGCCUUGCCUUAAAAUGUCGCAGGUCGACUCGACUCUCCUCAGGGUCAGAAAAGGGGCAGCCAAUAGUGGAAAGGAAAUCGGUGACGUCACUGGCUGCUGGGUGCAGGAUGAAGCUAAUCUGGAGGAGUUUGAAGGGUUCCGUGUGGGAGGACAUAACAAUUCUUGCAGUUUCCCUGGGUUCCCUGACUAUGUGUGCCUGUGGUAUGUUGAUUGCCAGUAUUCUGUGAAUGCUGUUUGAUAUUCUGAAAGGCCAGAUAUGGGGUGGGGACAGAACUAGAGAUUUCCUAUUUUUAAAUAAUUUUGAGAAAUAUUUCACUUAAAAAAAAAUAAAAAAGAAAUAUUUCACUUAAUUCCA
Molecule: long non-coding RNA, 1243 nt
Filed under: Phascolarctos cinereus (koala)
Lineage: Eukaryota; Metazoa; Chordata; Mammalia; Diprotodontia; Phascolarctidae
Description: lncRNA (ENSPCIG00000033440.1)
Source: RNAcentral